This 492-nucleotide ribosomal RNA is filed under the name uncultured bacterium. RNAcentral describes it as "partial 16S ribosomal RNA". It matches the Rfam family "Bacterial small subunit ribosomal RNA", at positions 29 to 507 of the family's 1533-position model. The record is from RNAcentral.
AGUGAACGCUGGCGGCAUGCCUUACACAUGCAAGUCGAACGGCAACACGUUUACGGCUUCCGCCUAGUGGUGGACGGGGGAGGACGAGUUCGGAAUGCACCCGGACCUAGUUUUUCACGGGGGGAAACCUUGGGAAAUAUACCCUAAUACCUCAUACGACCUGCGGGGGACAGCAAGGGAUCUUCGGACCUUGCCCGCUUGUAGGAGCCGAUGUCGGAUUAGCUAGUUGGCGGGGUAAAGGCCCACCAAGGCGACGAUCCGUAGCUGGUCUGAGAGGAUGAUCAGCCACACUGGAACUGAGACACGGUCCAGACUCCUACGGGAGGCAGCAGUGGGGAAUAUUGGACAAUGGGCGCAAGCCUGAUCCAGCAAUACCGCGUGGGUGAAGAAGGCCUUCGGGUUGUAAAGCGCUUUUGUAGGGAAAGAAAAGCAGCAGGUUAAUACCCCGCUGUUCUGACGGUACCCAAAGAAUAAGCACCGGCUAACUUCGUG